This 763-nucleotide ribosomal RNA is filed under the name uncultured bacterium. RNAcentral's name for it is "bacterial SSU rRNA". It matches the Rfam family "Bacterial small subunit ribosomal RNA", at positions 8 to 796 of the family's 1533-position model. The record is from RNAcentral.
AGAGUUUGAUCCUGGCUCAGGAUGAACGCUGGCGGCGUGUUUUAGGCAUGCAAGUCGAACGCGUGUAGCAAUACACGAGUGGCAAACGGGUGCGUAACACAUUGGUAACCUACCUCAGACACGGGGACAACUCGCCGAAAGGCGAGCUAAUACCCGAUGGUUCUUCCCGUCGCAGGAUGGGAACGUAAAGGCGCAAGCCGGUCUGAGAGGGGCCUAUGGUCUAUCAGCUAGUUGGUGAGGUAAUGGCUCACCGAGGCAAUGACAGAUAGCGGGCGUGAGAGCGCGACCCGCCUCAGUGGGACUGAGACACUGCCCACACUCCUACGGGAGGCUGCAGUCAAGAAUAUUCCCCAAUGGACGAAAGUCUGAGGGAGCGACGCCGCGUGCAGGAAGAAACCCCUCGGGGCGUAAACUGCUUUUCUCUGGGAAUAACCCUGAAGGUACCAGAGGAAUAAGAGGCUGCUAACUUCGUGCCAGCAGCAGCGGUAAUACGAAGGCCUCAAGCGUUAUCCGGAUUUAUUGGGCGUAAAGAGUUCAACGGUGGUUUGGAACGUUCUCGGUUAAAUUGCAUCGCUCAACGGUGCAACCGCUGGGAAAACGGCCAGACUCGAGCCUGGGAGAGGCAGACGGAAUUGUCGGUGUAGUAGUAAAAUGCGCUAAUAUCGACAAGAACACCAAUAGCGAAAGCAGUCUGCUGGAACAGUGCUGACACUUCACGAACGAAAGCGUGGGGAGCGAUACGGAUUAGAUACCCUGGUAGUCC